CAGCCGCCACGGGAAUACGAAGGGGGCUAGCGUUGCUCGGAAUGACUGGGCGUAAAGGGCGCGUAGGCGGCGGCCAAAGUCAGGCGUGAAAUUCCCGGGCUCAACCUGGGGGCUGCGUUUGAUACUUGGUUGCUUGAGUGGGGAAGAGGGUCGUGGAAUUCCCAGUGUAGAGGUGAAAUUCGUAGAUAUUGGGAAGAACACCGGUGGCGAAGGCGGCGACCUGGUCCUUGACUGACGCUGAGGCGCGAAAGCGUGGGGAGCAAACAGGAUUAGAUACCCCAGUAGUCCCUGUCUCUUAUAU
RNAcentral lists this ribosomal RNA (301 nucleotides) under uncultured bacterium. Its description in RNAcentral is "partial 16S ribosomal RNA". It matches the Rfam family "Bacterial small subunit ribosomal RNA", at positions 509 to 809 of the family's 1533-position model. The record is from RNAcentral.